AUACGUAGGGAGCGAGCGUUGUCCGGAAUUACUGGGUGUAAAGGGAGCGUAGGCGGGAUGGCAAGUCAGAUGUGAAAACUAUGGGCUCAACCCAUAGACUGCAUUUGAAACUGUUGUUCUUGAGUGAAGUAGAGGAAAGAGGAAUUCCUGGAGUAGCGGUGAAAUGCGUAGAUAUCAGGAGGAACAUAGGUGGCGAAGGCGGCUUACUGGGCUUUUACUGACGCUGAGGCUCGAAAGCGUGGGGAGCAAACAGGAUUAGAUGCCCUGGAAGUCCACGCUGUAAACGAUGAUUACUAGGUGUGGGGGGACUGACCCCUUCCGUGCCGCAGUUAACACAAUAAGUAAUCCACCUGGGGAGUACGGCCGCAAGGUUGAAACUCAAAUGAAUUGACGGGG
Molecule: ribosomal RNA, 396 nt
Filed under: uncultured bacterium
Lineage: Bacteria
Description: partial 16S ribosomal RNA
Rfam family: Bacterial small subunit ribosomal RNA
Source: RNAcentral